RNAcentral lists this ribosomal RNA (460 nucleotides) under uncultured bacterium. Its description in RNAcentral is "partial 16S ribosomal RNA". It matches the Rfam family "Bacterial small subunit ribosomal RNA", at positions 338 to 795 of the family's 1533-position model. The record is from RNAcentral.
CCUACGGGAGGCUGCAGUGAGGAAUAUUGGUCAAUGGACGAGAGUCUGAACCAGCCAAGCCGCGUGAAGGAUGAAUGCUCUCUGGUUUGUAAACUCUUUUUAUAUGGGAAUAAAGUGUUCGACGCCUCGGAUUUUGUAUGUACCUUACUAAUAAGCAUCGGCUAACUCCGUGCCAGCAGCCGGGGUAAUACGGAGGAUCAGAGCGUUUUCCGGAUUUAUUGGGUUUAAAGGGAGCGUAGGGGGAUUGUUAAGUCAGUUGUGAAAGUUCGCGGCUCAACCGUGGACGUGCAGUUGAAACUGGCAGUCUUGAGUACAGUAGAGGUGGGCGGAAUUCGUGGUGUAGCGGUGAAAUGCUUAGAUAUCACGAAGAACUCCGAUUGCGAAGGCAGCUCACUGGACGGCAACUGACGGUGAGGCGCGAAAGUGUGGGGAUCAAACAGGAUUAGAUACCCGGGUAGUC